This 1359-nucleotide ribosomal RNA is filed under the name Triticum aestivum (bread wheat). RNAcentral describes it as "partial small subunit ribosomal RNA". Lineage: Eukaryota; Viridiplantae; Streptophyta; Magnoliopsida; Poales; Poaceae. The record is from RNAcentral.
AUGGUUAGGUGUGUCGAUUGCGAAGUUUACUGCAGAAACAGACUAUAUUGGGCGAGAAUAAUAGGAUUUGUAGUGUGCCUAUGUCUUGUAUUCUUGUAUAUAUGCCAGGGUCCCCCUGCCCUCAAGGUGAAUUCCUUGAGUGGUAAGGUCAGCUCCCUCCAUGUUCCAGACAAGGUUUCCUCUGCCAGUCUAGGAAGGGGGCCACUGAACGUGGUGAUUGUGUAUGCCUUUGAUUGCACUAACUGGACCUCUGCCUGGUACACAGUGGAUGGGAUCUUUUGGAUGGUGCAAGAGAAGCUCACCUACUUCGCUGGAAGCUGCCUGGGUUACAUCUAUGUCAUAUCGACCCCAAACACGUACACGUUGGACAUGAAAGUAGUUGACCCUACUGAGACAAAGGAAACUGGCUACACAAAAUUUGCCUGGCACAGGAUGACUUGCACGAAAAACAUGGCAUCAGGCCUCGCCGAGGCGCAUAAAAUGAUCAGCAGCUGCGGGCACCACAACAGCAUCAUCUUGUUCUUCUCCGAUGGAUUGGUAAACAAGGGAGACUUCUUUGAUGGAACCCAGAACUUUGUUUCCAAAGUGCCCGUCCACACAUUUACGCUCGCCGGGGACGCAUAUAACCAUGUUCUCCACUCCAUUGUGGCAAAUUCUCCGGGUGGGAAGUUUCAUGCCACCGCUGUUCCAGAAAGGCCAAAUCUAUCAUCACCCUUCUCGAAACUACUCGAUAGCCUCCUUGGUGCCACCCCAAAGGACGAUGAGAAGCCUCCUGGUACCGUUUCAGGAAGGGAACCUCUAGACGUGGUGAUUAUUUCUGCCUUUGACAGCACUAACUCGACCCCUGCCUGGUACACGGUGGAUAAUGAGAUAUUUUGGUUGGUGCAAGAGAAGCUCACCCACUUCGCUAACAGCUGCAUGGGUUACAUCUACGUCAUGUCGACCCCUAACAUGUACACGUCAGACAUGAAAGUAGUUGACCCAGCUGACACAAAGGAAACUGGCUACGGGAAAUUCGAUUGGCGUAGGUUGAAAUGCACUAAAAACAUGGCAUCAGGCCUUGCCGAGGCACAUAAAAUGAUCAGCAGUCGCGGUUAUCACGACGGCGUCAUCUUGUUCUUCUCUGAUGGGUUGAUAAACGAGGGCAACUUCUUUGAUGGAACCAAGAACUUCAUCUCCAAAGUGCCUGUCCACACGUUUACUCUCGGAGGUGACGCAUAUAACCAUGGUCUCCAAGCCAUUGCCGCAAAUUCUCCGGGUGGGACGUUCAACCCCAUUCCAGUUCCAAGGAAACCACAUAUGUCAGCGCCCUUUUCCAAACUACUGGAUAGACUCCUCAGCAGCACCAUGAAGGACUAA